GCUUGCUCUUUAUGAAAGUGGCGCACGGGUGCGUAACGCGUAUGCAACCUACCUUAAUCAGGGGGAUAGCCCGAAGAAAUUCGGAUUAAGACCGCAUAAAAACACAGGAUAGCAUUAUCCAAUGUUCAAAUAUUUAUAGGAUUAAGAUGGGCAUGCGUGUCAUUAGCUAGUUGGCGGGGUAACGGCCCACCAAGGCGACGAUGACUAGGGGAUCUGAGAGGAUGACCCCCCACACUGGUACUGAGACACGGACCAGACUCCUACGGGAGGCAGCAGUAAGGAAUAUUGGUCAAUGGAGGGAACUCUGAACCAGCCAUGCCGCGUGCAGGAAGACAGCCCUCUGGGUCGUAAACUGCUUUUAUUCGGGAAUAAACCUUAUUACGUGUAAUAAGCUGAAUGUACCGAAGGAAUAAGGAUCGGCUAACUCCGUGCCAGCAGCCGCGGUAAUACGGAGGAUCCAAGCGUUAUCCGGAUUUAUUGGGUUUAAAGGGUGCGUAGGCGGCUUAUUAAGUCAGGGGUGAAAGACGGUGGCUCAACCAUCGCAGUGCCCUUGAUACUGAUGAGCUUGAAUACACUAGAGGUAGGCGGAAUGUGACAAGUAGCGGUGAAAUGCAUAGAUAUGUCACAGAACACCGAUUGCG
This 641-nucleotide ribosomal RNA is filed under the name Pedobacter sp. M67C6a. RNAcentral describes it as "bacterial SSU rRNA". It matches the Rfam family "Bacterial small subunit ribosomal RNA", at positions 78 to 717 of the family's 1533-position model. The record is from RNAcentral. Lineage: Bacteria; Pseudomonadati; Bacteroidota; Sphingobacteriia; Sphingobacteriales; Sphingobacteriaceae.